UAGGGAAUCUUCCGCAAUGGGCGAAAGCCUGACGGAGCAACGCCGCGUGAGUGAUGAAGGUCUUCGGAUCGUAAAACUCUGUUAUUAGAGAAGAACAAAUGUGUAAGUAACUAUGCACGUCUUGACGUUACCUAAUCAGAAAGCCACGGCUAACUACGUGCCAGCAGCCGCGGUAAUACGUAGGUGGCAAGCGUUAUCCGGAAUUAUUGGGCGUAAAGCGCGCGUAGGCGGUUUUUUAAGUCUGAUGUGAAAGCCCACGGCUCAACCGUGGAGGGUCAUUGGAAACUGGAAAACUUGAGUGCAGAAGAGGAAAGUGGAAUUCCAUGUGUAGCGGUGAAAUGCGCAGAGAUAUGGAGGAACACCAGUGGCGAAGGCGACUUUCUGGUCUGUAACUGACGCUGAUGUGCGAAAGCGUGGGGAUCAAACAGG
Molecule: ribosomal RNA, 429 nt
Filed under: Actinomycetes bacterium
Lineage: Bacteria; Bacillati; Actinomycetota; Actinomycetes
Description: Actinobacteria bacterium partial 16S ribosomal RNA
Rfam family: Bacterial small subunit ribosomal RNA
Source: RNAcentral